RNAcentral lists this ribosomal RNA (465 nucleotides) under uncultured bacterium. RNAcentral describes it as "bacterial SSU rRNA". It matches the Rfam family "Bacterial small subunit ribosomal RNA", at positions 28 to 507 of the family's 1533-position model. The record is from RNAcentral.
GACGAACGCUGGCGGCGUGCUUAACACAUGCAAGUCGAACGGUGAACCAGAGCUUGCUCUGGGGAUCAGUGGCGAACGGGUGAGUAACACGUGGGCAACCUGCCCCAGACUCUGGGAUAACCUCGGGAAACCGAUGCUAAUACCGGAUACGACCACUUCGGACAUCCGACGGUGGUGGAAAGUUUUUCGGUCUGGGAUGGGCCCGCGGCCUAUCAGCUAGUUGGUGGGGUAAUGGCCUACCAAGGCGACGAUCGGUAGCUGGUCUGAGAGGAUGAUCAGCCACAAUGGGACUGAGACACGGCCCAUACUCCUACGGGAGGCAGCAGUGGGGAAUUUUACGCAAUGGGCGAAAGCCUGACGUAGCGACACCGCGUGAGCGAAGAAGCCCCUUGGGGUGUAAAGCUCUGUCAGCUGGAACGAAAAAAUAGACGGUACCAGCAGAGGAAGCAUCGGCUAACUAACGUG